GAUGAACGCUGGCGGCGUGCUUAACACAUGCAAGUCGAACGAUGAAGCCCAGCUUGCUGGGUGGGUUAGUGGCGAACGGGUGAGUAACACGUGAGUAACCUGCCCUUAACUCUGGGAUAAGCCUGGGAAACUGGGUCUAAUACCGGAUAGGAGCGCCUACCGCACGUGGGGUGUUGGAGAGAUUUAUCGGUUUUGGAUGGACUCGCGGCCUAUCAGCUUGUUGGUGAGGUAAUGGCUCACCAAGGCGACGACGGGUAGCCGGCCUGAGAGGGUGACCGGCCACACUGGGACUGAGACACGGCCCAGACUCCUACGGGAGGCAGCAGUGGGGAAUAUUGCACAAUGGGCGAAAGCCUGAUGCAGCGACGCCGCGUGAGGGAUGACGGCCUUCGGGUUGUAAACCUCUUUCAGUAGGGAAGAAGCGAAAGUGACGGUACCUGCAGAAGAAGCACCGGCUAACUACGUG
This 466-nucleotide ribosomal RNA is filed under the name uncultured bacterium. Its description in RNAcentral is "partial 16S ribosomal RNA". It matches the Rfam family "Bacterial small subunit ribosomal RNA", at positions 28 to 507 of the family's 1533-position model. The record is from RNAcentral.